This is a long non-coding RNA of Sinocyclocheilus rhinocerous, 355 nucleotides long. RefSeq lists it as uncharacterized. The record is from RefSeq and is a predicted model, not a curated record. The transcript is spliced from 3 exons. Lineage: Eukaryota; Metazoa; Chordata; Actinopteri; Cypriniformes; Cyprinidae.
GGACAUCACUUAAUAACUUAGUGGCAUCCUUACUCAACUCAGUGAAAUCCAUUGCCUCCCUACUCCUGCUCCUCUUCCUCUUCAUUGUCAUCUUCUCCCUCCUGGGUAUGCAGGUGUUUGGUGGGAAAUUCAACUUCCCUGACAGAGUGAUUCAGCGCAGUAACUUUGACAACUUCCCACAGGCCCUCAUCAGUGUGUUUCAGGUCCUAACUGGCGAGGAGUGGGACUCGAUUAUGUACAAUGGAAUCAUGGCUCAUGGUGGACCUCAAUCCCCAGGAAUUCUUGUCAGCAUUUACUUCAUAAUUCUGUAUAUCUGUGGAAACUUCGUUCUCUUGAAUGUGUUCUUGGCUAUCGC